RNAcentral lists this ribosomal RNA (641 nucleotides) under Nakazawaea molendinolei. Its description in RNAcentral is "partial 26S ribosomal RNA". It matches the Rfam family "Eukaryotic large subunit ribosomal RNA", at positions 158 to 820 of the family's 3401-position model. Lineage: Eukaryota; Fungi; Ascomycota; Pichiomycetes; Alaninales; Pachysolenaceae. The record is from RNAcentral.
GUAUCUUUGGAGUUGGCCCCUGUCUAUGUUCCUUGGAACAGGACGUCACAGAGGGUGAGAAUCCCGUGCGAUGGGGAGACCAAUUCUUUGUAAAGUUCCUUCGAAGAGUCGAGUUGUUUGGGAAUGCAGCUCUAAGUGGGUGGUAAAUUCCAUCUAAAGCUAAAUAUUGGCGAGAGACCGAUAGCGAACAAGUACAGUGAUGGAAAGAUGAAAAGAACUUUGAAAAGAGAGUGAAAAAGUACGUGAAAUUGUUGAAAGGGAAGGGCUUUUGAUCAGACUUGGUGUUUAACGAUCUCUUCUCCUUGUGGGAGGGGCUCUUGUUUUAUACUGGGCCAGCAUCGGUUUGGAUGGCAGGAUAAUGACAUUGGAACGUGGCUUCAUUCGUGAAGUGUUAUAGCCUUUGUUGAUACUGCCUAUCUAGACCGAGGACUGCGUCUUUGACUAGGAUGCUGGCGUAAUGAUUAAAAGCCGCCCGUCUUGAAACACGGACCAAGGAGUCUAACGUCUAUGCGAGUGUUUGGGUGUAAAACCCGUACGCGUAAUGAAAGUGAACGUAGGUGAGGGCCCGCAAGGGUGCAUCAUCGACCGAUCCUGAUGUUUUCAGAUGGAUUUGAGUAAGAGCAUAGCUGUUGGGACCCGAA